CCUCCGUCGGCAAGUCGCCAAACUAGUUCCUCGCGACGGUUCUCUCUUCGAUCCUUCAGUAUUUGUUCUCAAUCGAUCAAUGGCAGACCGUGGUGAAAGAGGUCGGCCGUCCAAAAAACACAAGUCCUCG
This is a long non-coding RNA of Asparagus officinalis (garden asparagus), 130 nucleotides long. RefSeq lists it as uncharacterized. NCBI's taxonomy places the organism in Eukaryota, Viridiplantae, Streptophyta, Magnoliopsida, Asparagales, Asparagaceae. The transcript has 3 exons. The record is from RefSeq and is a predicted model, not a curated record.